This 463-nucleotide ribosomal RNA is filed under the name Streptomyces thermoviolaceus subsp. thermoviolaceus. RNAcentral describes it as "bacterial SSU rRNA". It matches the Rfam family "Bacterial small subunit ribosomal RNA", at positions 27 to 504 of the family's 1533-position model. The record is from RNAcentral. Lineage: Bacteria; Bacillati; Actinomycetota; Actinomycetes; Kitasatosporales; Streptomycetaceae.
GGACGAACGCUGGCGGCGUGCUUAACACAUGCAAGUCGAACGAUGAAGCCCCUUCGGGGGUGGAUUAGUGGCGAACGGGUGAGUAACACGUGGGCAAUCUGCCCUGCACUCUGGGACAAGCCCUGGAAACGGGGUCUAAUACCGGAUACGACACAGGGAGGCAUCUCCUCUGKGUGGAAAGCUCCGGCGGUGCAGGAUGAGCCCGCGGCCUAUCAGCUUGUUGGUGAGGUAACGGCUCACCAAGGCGACGACGGGUAGCCGGCCUGAGAGGGCGACCGGCCACACUGGGACUGAGACACGGCCCAGACUCCUACGGGAGGCAGCAGUGGGGAAUAUUGCACAAUGGGCGCAAGCCUGAUGCAGCGACGCCGCGUGAGGGAUGACGGCCUUCGGGUUGUAAACCUCUUUCAGCAGGGAAGAAGCGCAAGUGACGGUACCUGCAGAAGAAGCGCCGGCUAACUAC